RNAcentral lists this transfer RNA (82 nucleotides) under Saprospiraceae bacterium. Its description in RNAcentral is "tRNA-Leu". It matches the Rfam family "tRNA". From Rfam's summary of the family: Transfer RNA (tRNA) molecules are approximately 80 nucleotides in length. Lineage: Bacteria; Pseudomonadati; Bacteroidota; Saprospiria; Saprospirales; Saprospiraceae. The record is from RNAcentral.
GCGGGUGUGGCGGAAUUGGUAGACGCGCUAGACUUAGGAUCUAGUGCCGUAAGGCGUGGGGGUUCGAGUCCCUCCACCCGCA